GACAGCAGCAGCCGCGGUAAUACGAAGGGUGCAAGCGUUAAUCGGAAUUACUGGGCGUAAAGCGCACGUAGGCGGCUUGGUAAGUUAGAGGUGAAAGCCCGGAGCUCAACUCCGGAAUUGCCUUUAAGACUGCCGAGCUAGCAGGUGAGAGAGGUAAGUGGAAUUCCGAGUGUAGAGGUGAAAUUCGUAGAUAUUCGGAAGAACACCAGUGGCGAAGGCGGCUUACUGGCUCAUACUGGACGCUGAGGUGCGAAAGCGUGGGGAGCAAACAGGAUUAGAUACCCCCGUAGUCCCUGUCUCUUAUAC
RNAcentral lists this ribosomal RNA (306 nucleotides) under uncultured bacterium. RNAcentral describes it as "partial 16S ribosomal RNA". It matches the Rfam family "Bacterial small subunit ribosomal RNA", at positions 507 to 807 of the family's 1533-position model. The record is from RNAcentral.